UACGUAGGGUGCAAGCGUUGUCCGGAAUUAUUGGGCGUAAAGAGCUCGUAGGCGGUCUGUCGCGUCUGCUGUGAAAACCUGGGGCUUAACCCCGGGCCUGCAGUGGGUACGGGCAGACUAGGGUGUGGUAGGGGAGACUGGAAUUCCUGGUGUAGCGGUGAAAUGCGCAGAUAUCAGGAGGAACACCGGUGGCGAAGGCGGGUCUCUGGGCCGAUAUUGACGCUGAGGAGCGAAAGCGUGGGGAGCAAACAGG
Molecule: ribosomal RNA, 253 nt
Filed under: uncultured bacterium
Lineage: Bacteria
Description: partial 16S ribosomal RNA
Rfam family: Bacterial small subunit ribosomal RNA
Source: RNAcentral